AACGCGAAGAACCUUACCUGGCCUUGACAUGCAUUUAGUAGGAGCCUGAAAGGGCGACGAGGUAGCAAUACCAGGAUGCACAGGUGCUGCAUGGCUGUCGUCAGCUCGUGUCGUGAGAUGUUGGGUUAAGUCCCGCAACGAGCGCAACCCUUGUGUCCUGUUGCCAUCCGGACGAGAGUCUGGAGCACUCUGGACAGACUGCCUCGCUUAAACGAGGAGGAAGGUGGGGAUGACGUCAAGUCAGUAUGGCCCUUACGGCCAGGGCUGCACACGUACUACAAUGCCCGACACAAAGGGAAGCGAGACCGUCAGGUGGAGCAAAUCCCAAAAAAUCGGGCCCAGUUCAGAUCGCAGGCUGCAACUCGCCUGCGUGAAGCCGGAAUCGCUAGUAAUGGCGCAUCAGCUACGGCGCCGUGAAUACGUUCCCGGGCCUUGUACACACCGUACGUC
RNAcentral lists this ribosomal RNA (450 nucleotides) under uncultured bacterium. RNAcentral's name for it is "bacterial SSU rRNA". It matches the Rfam family "Bacterial small subunit ribosomal RNA", at positions 958 to 1398 of the family's 1533-position model. The record is from RNAcentral.